This 118-nucleotide small nuclear RNA is filed under the name Anopheles culicifacies. RNAcentral describes it as "U4 spliceosomal RNA". It matches the Rfam family "U4 spliceosomal RNA". From Rfam's summary of the family: U4 small nuclear RNA (U4 snRNA) is a component of the major U2-dependent spliceosome. The structure of U4 snRNA from yeast and human has been reported. Lineage: Eukaryota; Metazoa; Arthropoda; Insecta; Diptera; Culicidae. The record is from RNAcentral.
AGCUUUGCAAUGCGGCGAUAUCUUAACCACUGAGGUACAACCGAGGUGCGAUUAUUACUAGUUGAAAAUUAUUCCUGAAUUGAAAUAUUAGUUACGCAUAAUUGGCAUAUUUACAAAU